UGAGACAUGGACGCAGGCCCUAUGGGGCGCAGCAGGCGAGAAACCUUUGCAAUGUGCGAGAGCACGACAAGGUUAAUCCGAGUGUCUCCUGCUAAAGGAGUCUUUUGUCAGUUGUAGAAUCACUGGUGAAUAAGGGGUGGGCAAGUUCUGGUGUCAGCCGCCGCGGUAAAACCAGCACCUCGAGUGGUCAGGAGGUUUAUUGGGCCUAAAGCAUCCGUAGCCGGUUGCAUAAGUUUUCGGUUAAAUCUAUGCGCUUAACGUAUAGGCCGCCGAAAAUACUGUGCAGCUAGGGAGUGGGAGAGGUACACGGUACUCGAUAGGAAGGGGUAAAAUCCUUUGAUCUAUUGAAGACCACCUGUGGCGAAGGCGGUGUACCAGAACACGUUCGACGGUGAGGGAUGAAAGCUGGGGGAGCAAACCGGAUUAGAUACCCGGGUAGUCCCAGCUGUAAACGAUGCAGACUCGGUGAUGCAUUGGCUUGUGGCCAAUGCAGUGCCGCAGGGAAGCCGUUAAGUCUGCCGCCUGGGAAGUACGUACGCAAGUAUGAAACUUAAAGGAAUUGGCGGGGGAGCACCACAAGGGGUGAAGCCUGCGGUCAAUUGGAGUCACGCC
Molecule: ribosomal RNA, 612 nt
Filed under: uncultured archaeon
Lineage: Archaea
Description: bacterial SSU rRNA
Rfam family: Archaeal small subunit ribosomal RNA
Source: RNAcentral